RNAcentral lists this signal recognition particle RNA (290 nucleotides) under Propithecus coquereli (Coquerel's sifaka). RNAcentral's name for it is "Metazoan signal recognition particle RNA (ENSPCOG00000002782.1)". It matches the Rfam family "Metazoan signal recognition particle RNA". Rfam says of the family: The signal recognition particle (SRP) is a universally conserved ribonucleoprotein. It is involved in the co-translational targeting of proteins to membranes. The eukaryotic SRP consists of a 300-nucleotide 7S RNA and six proteins: SRPs 72, 68, 54, 19, 14, and 9. The record is from RNAcentral. Lineage: Eukaryota; Metazoa; Chordata; Mammalia; Primates; Indriidae.
GCUGUGAGUGCCAUGGCAUAUACCUAUAGCCCCAGCUACUUGGGAGGCUGAGGCGGGAGGAUCUCUUGGGCCCAGAAGUUCUGGGCUGUAGUGUGCUUUGCCAACUGCGUGUCCACACUAAGUUUGGCAUCAAUAUGGUGACCUCCUGAGAAGGGGGGACUACCAGGUUGCCUAAGGAGGGGUGAACCAAAAUGGAGCAAGUCAAAACUCCUUUGUUGAUUAGUAGCGGGAUCGUGCCUGUGAAUAGUCAGUACACUCCAGCCUGGGCAACAUAGUGAGACCCCAGCUCU